CCUGCUCUUCCCAGAAGCCGGCCAGGAACCGGCAGCUGCUCUGCGGGACCCGCCCUGAGCCACAAGCUCCUCCUGCAGAGUCGAUUUCAGCGCCCUCUAGGACCGAAGCCGCCGCGCUAAACUUGGCGGGUUUCAAACCCUCAACCGGCUGGAGACGAAGGGAAGGAGGACGGCUCCAUGUUUCCACCAUCCGCCCCUCUCAAGAGUUAUCCGGCAAGUUUUUUUAAUCAAGAAACGCCAGCCGCGCAAGCCGGGGAAGGAGCCUGGGCUCUGCACCAGAAUAACGUCAUGGCAUUGCACCAUGACGUCAUGCCCAUGCGGGCGGAUGAUGACGUCGUUGCGGGGGUACGCUGAAGAUCAACCACGAGAGGAAGAAAGAGGCUUGCUUAUGAGCGAGCGCAAGGGAGAUAGCACGGGUUGAUGGCACGGCGGGAUGAUCUUGCAAGUUAAUUAUUGUGCAGCUGCAGCUUUUUAAGAAACUGUGCAGAACUGGGGUGCUGUGUGGUUUCUCUACACAGCACCCCAGUGAUUCCGGCCGUGAAAGCCUUCGACAAUACAUUGUGCAGAACUGUUCCUGAUUUAUUGUUUUGUUUACUAUGGCUUUUCCUCGUCCUGGCUCAAUGCUACGCAUUUUUACUCAGCAAGACUUGUUGUCAUCUCCAGAUGCAGGUUUGGCAUCAUAACUGAGCAGAGGAUCAAAGUCCAAAGAUGCGUGUGGCUUUCAGGUGGUAGAAGAAAGUUGCUCAGAAGUACAUGGCAGGGGGUGCCAGGCCAUCUGCAGAUGGCUUCAGGUCAAGCUUAAAACUCUGUAACUUCCCAACCAUUGGAAAUUCUCAGAAGUGAGGAAUUGUCCCAAUAAAACUUUACACCUA
Sphaerodactylus townsendi is the source of this 872-nucleotide long non-coding RNA. RefSeq lists it as uncharacterized. Lineage: Eukaryota; Metazoa; Chordata; Lepidosauria; Squamata; Sphaerodactylidae. The transcript is spliced from 2 exons. The record is from RefSeq and is a predicted model, not a curated record.